RNAcentral lists this ribosomal RNA (253 nucleotides) under uncultured bacterium. RNAcentral's name for it is "partial 16S ribosomal RNA". It matches the Rfam family "Bacterial small subunit ribosomal RNA", at positions 524 to 776 of the family's 1533-position model. The record is from RNAcentral.
GACAGAGGGUGCAAACGUUGCUCGGAAUUACUGGGCGUAAAGCGCGUGUAGGCGGGGAUAUAAGUCGGUUGUGAAAUCCCUGGGCUCAACCUAGGAACUGCAUCCGAAACUGUAUUUCUAGAGUGAUGGAGAGGAGAGCGGAAUUCCCGGUGUAGAGGUGAAAUUCGUAGAUAUCGGGAGGAACAUCAGUGGCGAAGGCGGCUCUCUGGACAUCAACUGACGCUGAGACGCGAAAGCGUGGGUAGCAAACAGG